CCCACCAAUCUCGUUUGGCUCCGCUCCCGCCCUUCGCCCUACCCUUCCCACCUUCUCCUCCUCCUCUUUCUCCGCUCUGUUUCACUGCCGAAGACGCGAUGCUCGGAUUGGCUCGAGGGCAGGCGGCAGUGAUGGUGGUGGUGAUGCGGAUGCAAGCGCAGAUUUGAUGUUGCUGCAGGCUUCGAGAUGGCUUCAGAGAAUCAUGAGGGCGGAGUUGCCAUCGAGUUCGGUGUCUUGUCGCGUGAUAUGACACUUCGGCCCAACCCGUCGUCAGUCAUCAUCUCCCAUCUAUCGACGGCUGCGAUAUCGGGACCCGAUGAACGAAGGGUCGAGAUGUGAUCUAAUCCAGCAGCGCCGAAGACUAGACCGCCAGGAAACGCAACAGGUCACGAGGUAAACGAUACUAUGGGUCGUUACUUCUGCCGUCAUUCAUGCGUUUGCGAAUGCCUGUGGCCAUGUGAGACCUUUCUUCUCCCCCCGGCAAUUUUCCUCUCCACCCACACGGUGUUAUAUUUUGGGCUGAUGCCAUGCAUCUCCCGCUCACCUCAACGCGUCUCAUUCCAACCUUUCUAUUUAUA
Molecule: long non-coding RNA, 578 nt
Organism: Musa acuminata AAA Group (dessert banana)
Lineage: Eukaryota; Viridiplantae; Streptophyta; Magnoliopsida; Zingiberales; Musaceae
Exons: 3
Source: RefSeq, a predicted model, not a curated record